UACGUAGGGGGCAAGCGUUGUCCGGAAUUACUGGGCGUAAAGGGUGCGUAGGCGGCUCUCUAAGUCGGAUGUGAAAACUCUGGGCUCAACCCAGAGACUGCAUCCGAAACUGGGGGGCUAGGGUUCUGGAGGGGAAAGCGGAAUUCCUGGUGUAGCGGUGAAAUGCGUAGAUAUCAGGAGGAACACCGGUGGCGAAGGCGGCUUUCUGGACAGACACCGACGCUGAGGCACGAAAGCUAGGGGAGCAAACAGG
This 253-nucleotide ribosomal RNA is filed under the name uncultured bacterium. Its description in RNAcentral is "partial 16S ribosomal RNA". It matches the Rfam family "Bacterial small subunit ribosomal RNA", at positions 524 to 776 of the family's 1533-position model. The record is from RNAcentral.